CCUGGUUUAAGGUGGAAUCACUCCAACAGCAUUAUGAACUUUACCCUGGUUUAAGGUGGAAUCACUCCAAGGCCAUUAUGAACUUUACCCUGGUUUAAGGUGGAAUCACUCCAAGGCCAUUAUGAACUUUACCCUGGUUUAAGGUGGAAUCACUCCAAGGCCAUUAUGAACUUUACCCUGGUUUAAGGUGGAAUCACUCCAACAGCAUUAUGAACUUUACCCUGGUUUAAGGUGGAAUCACUCCAAGGCCCUUAUGAACUUUACCCUGGUUUAAGGUGGAAUCACUCCAAGGCCAUUAUGAACUUUACCCUGGUUUAAGGUGGAAUCACUCCAACAGCAUUAUGAACUUUACCCUGGUUUAAGGUGGAAUCACUCCAAGGCCCUUAUGAACUUUACCCUGGUUUAAGGUGGAAUCACUCCAACAGCAUUAUGAACUUUACCCUGGUUUAAGGUGGAACCACUCCAACAGCAGUAUGAACUUUACCCUGGUUUAAGGUGGAAUCACUCCAAGGCCAUUAUGAACUUUACCCUGGUUUAAGGUGGAAUCACUCCAACAGCAUUAUGAACUUUACCCUGGUUUAAGGUGGAAUCACUCCAAGGCCCUUAUGAACUUUACCCUGGUUUAAGGUGGAAUCACUCCAAGGCCCUUAUGAACUUUACCCUGAUUUAAGGUGGAAUCACUCCAAGGCCCUUAUGAACUUUACCCUGAUUUAAGGUGGAAUCACUCCAACAGCAUUAUGAACUUUACCCUGGUUUAAGGUGGAAUCACUCUAAGGCCCUUAUGAACUUUACCCUGGUUUCAUGUGAAUCACUCCAACUAUACCACAAUGCAACAUGUUUUAGUGAGACAGCCAAUGCUAAUUCUCUUGGGCUGAGUUCCAAAUAGCUCCCUAUUCCCUAAAGAAUAUAUUUUGAUUUAACACUUGUUUGGUUCCAUAUGUGUUAUUUCAUAGUUUUGAUGUCUUCACUAUUAUUCUACAAUGUAGAAAAUAGUCCAAAUAAAGAAAACCCCUUGAAUGAGUAGGUGUGUCCAAACUUUUGACUGGUACUGUUGAUCUCUAACAAAGGGGUCGUGGAAAAGGUCUGUUGAAAUGAAUACUGUAGUGGUGUGUGAAAGGUAACACAAGCUUCCUCUCUGGUUCCAUUCCCCCAAUAGUAACUGGGUCAUUAUUGGAUGGUGAAUGUCAUGCUGUCCCUGGACUGUAGCACCACAUAAAAAAAUGACAAAUACAUUUAUUUAACUGUUAUUUAAUAAGAAACCUAUGUAAAUCCUUUAUACUGAUAAACAUAUAUUUGUACAGAUUGUAGACAAUACUGGUGCCUAGAUAAAUGGG
Long non-coding RNA from Oncorhynchus tshawytscha (Chinook salmon), 1334 nucleotides. The record is from Ensembl. Lineage: Eukaryota; Metazoa; Chordata; Actinopteri; Salmoniformes; Salmonidae.